Molecule: long non-coding RNA, 2425 nt
Filed under: Helianthus annuus (common sunflower)
Lineage: Eukaryota; Viridiplantae; Streptophyta; Magnoliopsida; Asterales; Asteraceae
Source: RNAcentral
UUUCUCAUUUGACAACCCUAAUUUUAGAACCUGCCGCUGCAAUUCUUCUUGCCUUUAACCUCACGCUGUAACGGUGGAACAUUAAGAACCUGCAAAAGCUUCAUAUCUUUGGAUCCCAAAACCAUCGAUUUGUCUCAACCAAGUUCUUUUCAUGUUUGCUAGAUGUUUUUCAAAUCACAGAGCCUAGAUGGGGAUAUGAUUGAUUGUGUACACAUCUCUCACCGGCCCGCUUUUGAUCAUCCAUUUCUCAAAGACCCUUGAUAUUUUUGCAAUUAAUCAGGUACUUUAUUUGUACUCUAUCUUUGCCUACAUUUUUGUUGCUUUCCUUUUGUGAAAUUUAUAUUUUUAUUGUAUUAUGAUUCUUCACUGUAAUGUUUUUCUAUUUUACUUUUUUUAUUUGAACUAAAUGGGGAUUGUGAUAGAAUUUUUAGAACUCAGGGUAGGUUAAUUGGUAAUGGAAUGCAGUAGCCCCUUGAUAUGUGUACAUAUUGAUUUGUAUUCGCAUGUUGUUUGUACUAAAGUGUUUGGAUGCUUUUUGUAGAUGGGGUCUACGAACAAUCCAAAAAAUAAAUUGUAAUGACUUUUAUUUAAAUUUAUUGAUUUGAAAAUUAGAAGCCAGAGUCAACUGCUUUGUUACUUGAUGAGAUGACAAAAAAAAGGAUUCAACAGAAUGUUGUAACAUAUAGCUCGAUCGUAGAUGCUUUUGGGUAGUAUGGUGAAACUGUUUUAUCAAUUGAUGACAAUCGGGAAAUUUUGGAAUUGUAAAAAUGAUAAUAAAAAGGUUAAUAGCAGAGAUGAAGAUCGGAUAAUAAAGGUUUUGAGCAGUUAGCUUAUGGACAUUUGAAUAUUGAAGAAAAGAGUAGAAAGGAGGUUAUAUGUGUUUUCUGGAAGAUGCAUGAGCUGGAAAUUAAACCAAAUGGUGACGUGUUUGGCUAUUUUGAAUGAUUGUAGUUGUUGCAGUUCGUUUGAAGAAGCUUCAUUGCUAUUGGAAUAACUUAGUUUAUUUGAUAACCAAGUUGACGGUGUGGCCCAUGGGCGUUUGAUGGGCUAUAGAGAAAACGUCUGGUCCAUUCUCUCUCUUUUCAAUGAGGUCAAACUUAUGGAUUCUGCAACUGCAUCCGCUUCCAAAGAAGAAGACGAAGGCUUUGGGAAUGGCUAUUAAAGUUAUCGUCUAUUAUCAUCAAGCUCUUUAGUCCAAAACAGAUUAUGCCUAUUUUUAAAUUGCAGGCCAGUAAGCAAAGAUAGUGUACAACCACUCCAUGAAGUUGUCACCUUCAGGUUAAACGCACUCCAUGGAAGACACCAAUUUAAAAGGUAACGCGUUGAGUGGCAAGGGCAUUGGUACUAUGGUCCAUGCUAAGCAAUAUGGGAGUGACUUAGUUGAACCCAGGGUAUAAUCGACAAUUUAUACCACAACGUCAAGCCAAAACCGUUGAUUGUAGCAUUGUUGGGUUCUUUGAUAAAGAGUGGCUUUCAAAGCUUCUUAAGGUUUUGGGUUCAGACAUUGUUGAUGUAAUAACACUCCAUUUGUAUAAUUUGGACCAGUUUAGAACUAGGCCUCUCUGGAGGUCGCCAGUUCGAAACUGAGCUGAACCAGGUUUUACCGCAGUGGGCCUUCGAGCGGGCAUUUGAAGACACGUUCAAUCAAUUGAGCGACAUCAGUAAUCGUUCUUCACAUUGCCACUAGGUGGUUCCAGCUAUUUAAGUUGCAAGUUGCAUUAGCGGGGUUACAAGUGAAGAUCUCUCGGAGAGACCUGAAGCCCAAAUUGAUGAUCGCAACUGGUAGUAUGAAUCCAAUGAUCUGGACAAUGGUUCCACCUCCUUUUCAGCAGAUGGAACCUGCACCAUGGUUUCCACCACUUCGAUUUCAUCUUAAAGCGAUGGAUGUAGAAGACAGCUGUGUUAUUACUCAUGUUCAAUAUAAGCUCUUUCGUGUUCAUGUGAGCAAGAAGAGAGGAAGACACAAAGGAGGUGUGAAACAUAGUUCAGAUGAUACAGGUUCAGGUGUCAAAUUUGUAUCAUGUAAACUGUGUUUGACACAUCCUUUGUUUCUUUCUCUCUUCUUGCUCACAUGAACACGAAAGAGGUUAUCUUGAACAUGAUGUUAUCUAUUAAAGGAGCUUAUAUGAUGACAUAGAAUUGGCUACGUGUCAAUCUCUCAGCUAUGACAAGGUUUAAAGCUAUUGAAUGGCUUGAAAGUAUUUUUGAAUAAUGGAUGUGUUUUUUCACUUUACAAGCACACAUUUACCAUAGACUUAGUUUGGUCAGAUAAUUUGGAAUGGGUCCAACUGGUAAUCAAUUAUGGAUUUGAAGCAACAUAUCAAAGGGAAGUUGUUGAAGUUGGAGGUUGAUCAUCGAAAUACAUCAAGUUAUCAAGAUAUGAUUGUACAGAGGGAACUCAAUUUUGUAACUCGAAGGAUAUGCA